UCCUGUUAGUAAAAGAUCUGCAGCAGCUCCGGAGACGUAGGCAGAAUUGGCAGCAGCUCCGGAGACGUAGGCAGAAUUGGCCGAACUCCGUUAUUAAAUUUGUGUGUGUUAUUAUUCCGCUUUUAUUUGGCAUUCUCACUAAUUUAGUUUUAUAGGAAAUUUUGCGUAAUUUCCCAACAGUAACAAUAUGUUGAUAUCUUUGAUAAAACUAUGGAUCUAGUUUAUUCAUCGUAAUAUCACCUGGGUAUUGCGAGGAAUGAGCCUCUGAAAUUCUACUUCCUGAUGAUAACAAGUUGAAAUUAGUCAAAACCUCAUCCAAAAAGCUUGCACCCAAAGAGGGUAUGAGCUGCAAAGAUGAUGUGGAUGUAAAAUCUGAAAACUAUGGUCAAAGGAACUAUGACUUUGGGGAAUCUGCAAUAGAGUUAGAGAGAAAUCGGUGGUGGCAAAUUUCAACCUAGAGUAAAGAUCCAACCCAGGAAGGGAAAAUCUGAGGCAACUGCAAAGGAAGAGCCAACUAGCCGAGCCUCAACUGUCUCAAUUUCUUGAUAUUGGCAAAAUUCUUACCCAUUAUUUGCCACUGUAGAUAUUGCUGUAAGACCUCCAUAUUCUGGUUUUGAAAAAUCAACUACAGAUACAUAUGUUUCAGGAUUGGAGUAUAUUCAUGAGUUUGUUACCCAGUCUCGAAGUGGCACAGAGAUUCCACUUGCUGCUUCAAAUUAGAAGGAAACAAUCUAGACUUCCAGCUCAAUAUUUUGUUAAUUCUUAGGCCCUCGGAUCAUGUAAUGUGGCAGUCUUGGAUGCAGACACUUGUAAUACAGCUGCUCUUCUGGCUGAUAAUGGAAGGCCAGAGUGAGAGGUGAGGACCUGUAUAUGAAUUAUUUCUGUCGUCGGAAAGUUCUUUUUUUUUUUUUUUUUUUUUUUUUUUUUUUUUUUUUUUUUUUUUUUGGUGAUUGAAAGUUUUGAUUUUGAUUUAGUGAUUAUUUGGCUAGUUUCAGGAAUCAAAAUUUUUUCCUAACUUGGAAAGUCCAGAUAUUCUAGCUAAGUCCAUAGUUGCAUGUGGUAUGUUAAGAACUAGUUGUCUGCAUUAUAUGGGCAUUAUUUUGCAUUGUAUUGUUUGCUUUUGUACCAAGUCCUUGUUGAUUUUAGAUAAUUCUAAAAAUUCCAGCCACAACCCAGAUACAUAUUUGCAAAGAGAAACCUAGUUUUAUUAUCCUUCCCCCAGAUGCAGCUGAGUCUAUUGUACCUCUGGGCAAUAUUCAGUUUAUUCCUUCUGAAACUGUGUAUAUAAAUGUGGGUUUAAUUCCUACCUUCCCAUCGGAUGAUGUUCUUGAUAAUUCCUCCAUGUGCAUUUGGCAAUUUCACUGCUUUAUCCUACCACAUCUGAGUUGCCAGAGAAAGAACAGAUAAACCUUACAGAAGCUUCUCACUCCAAACUAUAGUGAAACAAAUGUUUUUCACCAUUAUGUACCAGGAGUGCCCACAAUUAUUGUUCAAAAUAAAUAAAAUGCUUUGCUAAGCUGCAUUGAUUUGCUUCAGUGGGAUUUACUAUGUUAUUGAAUAGUGUUUCCAUGCUAUGGCUAUUAAUAUAUAAGGAAAAGCUGUGUAACGAGAUGUUCUACUUCUCUACCUGAUAAAUGGCAGCUUUUUUUUUUUUUUUUUUUUUUUUUUUUUUUUUUGGAACUUCUGAAAAACAAAUUCUGAGGAUAUGCAACAAUUCUGGUUCUUGUUUGUUGGUUAGAGUUCUGUGGCUUAUUAUUAUGUUGUGGAGGGUGGGUGGUGAAAGGAAGAAAAAUAAUAAAUUGCCCCCUUUUUUGGAUUUUUCCUGUGGAUUGCUUGUUUAAACUUAUGCAACUGGCAAGUGUUUCACAGUAAAGUUGAUUAAACUGAGGCUGGGCAUGCUUGCUGUGCAGCUGGAUUUAUGUUAGCUUCUCUUUCCUUUUUGUUUAAUAUCACAUACAAGUGGUAUGUAAAAUGCAGAAACCUAUGCAAGUGCUUUUGUUGCUUCUUUUUUUCUUUUUUGUUUUUGGCAAUAAGAGAUAGACUAGUGUGUCAAAAUACAUAAAUGUACUUUAGAGACUACUGAAUUCACAUAUUGUGUGAUAAUAUAUGAUGGAGAGAGUUUAAUGUAGCAAAAAAAAAAAAAAAAGAAAGGAAAAA
Jatropha curcas is the source of this 2157-nucleotide non-coding RNA. The record is from RefSeq and is a predicted model, not a curated record. Lineage: Eukaryota; Viridiplantae; Streptophyta; Magnoliopsida; Malpighiales; Euphorbiaceae.